Anthonomus grandis grandis is the source of this 658-nucleotide long non-coding RNA. RefSeq lists it as uncharacterized. The transcript has 3 exons. The record is from RefSeq and is a predicted model, not a curated record. Lineage: Eukaryota; Metazoa; Arthropoda; Insecta; Coleoptera; Curculionidae.
UUUAUUUCAAUUAUUUUCAAAUUUAUUUGGGCAAGUUACUCAGCAAGCUUUACUUGCUGUAUUUCUUUAAGUGAAACGUGUACACUAGUUUUGUAAAUAUGUCAUCUCGGCAAAUAGCUGCUGCGGUUGUGAUAUAUUUAAUAAAAAAACGAAAAGAGAAAAAGGAAAAAAAUAAAAGAAAAAUUUGGGUAAGAAAAUGGAUUCAGCGUAGAGCUACUUUAGGAUUACAUGAGAAGUUACUUAAUGAGUUAAGAAUGGAAAACCCACAACAGUUGAAAAACUUUCUACGAAUAUCUGCAAAAGACUUCGAUUUUUUGCUUGGUUUGGUGAAGGAAAAGAUAUAUAAGAAAGAUACAAAAAUGCGACAGGCCAUUAGACCAGAAGAACGCCUGUCUUUGACACUUCGCUUUUUAGCCACAGGUGAUUCCUACCAUUCUCUUAUGUAUUUGUAUCGAAUCCCUGUAUGCACGAUCGCAAGGAUUGUUCCUGAGUGCUGUGCUGCAAUUGUGGAAGCUCUAAAAAAGGAAUAUUUAAAGGUUCCAAAUACCCAAGAAGAAUGGAUUAGGAUUGCAAAAGAUUUUGAAAAUAUCUGGAAUUUCCCAAACUGCCUAGGAGCUCUGGAUGGAAAACAUGUCGUUAUGCAAGCCCCACCUUGCAG